RNAcentral lists this long non-coding RNA (2162 nucleotides) under Musa acuminata (dwarf banana). Its description in RNAcentral is "long non-coding RNA (MACU_LNC002361)". Lineage: Eukaryota; Viridiplantae; Streptophyta; Magnoliopsida; Zingiberales; Musaceae. The record is from RNAcentral.
UUUGAUAAAUAACUAUAAAAAAAACCCUUGAAAUGUCUAAUAACUAUCAAUUUUUUUAUUUGAAUAAUUUAUAACAGCUCUCGCCCUGACGUUCUGCUCACACCACCCUUACGUGAGAUGAGAGUCAAUGAUUCACCACUGCAGAUCCACCAAACCCGAGAAGGAGAGCGUACGAGCGAGAGAGAGAGAAACAAGAGCAGUUGAGGAGAAUGAGCACUCGCUUGAAAACAUAAUUAAAUCCUGACUCUGAUAUGGCAACCAACAACCGAUCGCUAUGGUUUCCAGGCCUUUAAUCAUUGAAUGAAUGAGGAGAAUGCUUCGUAUCCGAAUACUUUGGGCAGUCGGUACCGGUCUCUGUUUCACCUGACACAAAAAGGUAGUGAGUGACUUGUGAUGCUCUCUUUCUGUGGUUGGUUUGUGAUGGAUAAUGCCACAGAUUUGGUGUGCUCUAAUUUCCAAAUAACUAUACUUUGAGACGAUCUACAGCUCUUCUGUUUUCACACUUUUUUUAAUCGCAGUUAUAAACCUGCGAUAAUUCUACAGUAUGAUAAACAAUCAAAAUUAUCAGUGUUUGUGAAGAAAUGUGUGUAUAAGAAGCUAAAAGAGAGCAGCAACACGAGUUAAUGAAAAGGAGUGUAUGUUUAUAUAGCUUUUAUAUGACCGAGGAAGCAUGAACUAGUAGUCAAAAAGAUCGAUAGGCCCUCAAAAAAACAAUAAAUAUUUAUCGAAUGAUCUAACGGGCACCACCCAACAUAGGAUGGGCCCUCAAAAAUUGGCGUAUGCUGCUUGGAGUGACCGGCACACUGUAUUCUUUAGUAAAAGGUGAAAGAAUAGUUCGCUCUGUGCCCCACCACGCAGCUGCGUGAUUUUGCUCAUCGGUGUGUCAUGGUCUCCAUGGCAUCCUAACCAGUGCACUCUUUCUAAUGUUACGUUGGACUAAAAGUUUGGCUUCACAUCGAUUUGAGAUUUCUACUUGGACGCGACGCUACUCAAGAUUGAUUAACCAAAGUCAACACAGCAAAUCGAGAGAAGCCACGAUGUCGGAGGAAGAGGAAGUCCAAGAAGCGAUGGGUUUUCUUCUCUCUUGAUUGAUUAUAGGUGCGGUGCCUCCAAAGAACAGAGUAAGAUGGAGAAGAAAUCUAAGAACAGAGUAAUAGGGGGGGGCCUCAAAGAACAGAGUAAGAUGAGUAUUUGUACAUAUUUCCAACAUCCUCUGCAUAGCUCAAGUUUAUUUUAGUAAAAUCAUGGUUGCACAUUGUCCAAUAAUAAUGAUAAGUAAAAAAGAUUAUCUUUUGAGCUCAACACUUACGAUUUAGGUGAUUUCUAAUGUCCAAGUAAUGCAGGACAAUCCAACGAACCGAUUACUAUUUUAUUACGAUGAUUACUAAUUUUUUUUGUUUUUUUCACUUAGAGUCACUCACUUAUUCUUCUAAUUCUUUAUUAGGUAAAAUUCUAAAAAAAAUUAUUUUUAUUUUUUUAUUAGAGUCAUCUUUUCCAUUUAUUCUCAUAGAACGUUAUUUUCUAAAAGACAAAAUUGGUCGUAACCUUUGCCCCGUCAUGGUCGUCGUCACCCCCACCUUUCCACUAGGCUCUGCCACCCUCGCCUUCCUCCCCUCUUCCUUCGUUGCCCCUUCCCUCCUCUCUUCCUUUGUUGCCCUCGUUUUCCCUUCGCUCUUUCUCUCCGUCGUCAUGGUCACCAUUGCGCCCCCCACCCACCCUCUCUCUCCCAACAAAAGGAGGAUGCGAAGGGAGCGCAGGCAAUGGCCGAAGGCGAAGGGUGAUCGAUCGAAAACCAAAGGCAAUUUCAUUUUUCAAGAAAUGAGAGAUGAAAAGAUGUACUAAUAGAGAAAAAUAAAAAAACUUUCUUAAAUAAUUAGGCUUUUCUUAUUUAUAUUAUAUAAAUAAAUGAUUCGUCAAUGAAUUUGCUAAAAUCUAUAAAACGAAAAAAAAACGUAUUUCGUUAAAUCAAAUUCUAAAUACUUAAUGAACCCCAAUUAUUUGGAUAAAUUGUACGAGCACAAAACAAACUAAUUAGGAUGAAGCAAAUACCUUAUUAACGAUUUGAUGGGCCCCACUCGAAUGCAGACAUGGGCCCUAAAAAAUUUGGCGCCACAGUAUUCUUUAGUAAAAGGCGAAACAAUUGUUCAGUCUGUGCCCACCAC